UUUUGCUGGAGCCUGCGACCGAGUGGGAGUGGAGUGGAGCGGCUGUGGUUGCCGACUCUUUCCUCUUCCCCACGGUCCAGUCAGCGGGUUAAUUAGGCCAUCGGCCCUCGAGCCGAGACUUGUCUCUUAUUUAGUUCUGGGGAGCGCCUCGUCGACAUGAGUGAUGUGGAGGAAAACAACUUCGAGGGCAGAGUGAGUACAAAGCCGCGGGAGCCGUCUAGGCGGCGGCCCAAUGCUCGGGGUUUCACGGGAACAAGCGCGGUCGGGCGGGGUUGCGGGUAGUCCCGCGAGGAGCAACCUCUGGAGCCAUCGCGAUUGAUUCCUCCCAUCCCAAGAUGGCUUCUGGGUUCCACUCCUUCCCCAAACACCACGGAUAACACCCCUCCCCCUUUUUUGGAGGCUGACUGAUACCUGGACUUCUGGGUCCUCUUCCCUCCCCGCCCCCGCAUUGCUUCCUCCCUUCUCCCCACCCCUGAGGCUUCCUUAUGUCUGCUCCGAGGUGUGGGUCCCCGUCGCGGUUGGGCGGGAGGAGGCGGCAGGGAGCUCCCCUCCGUCCGGAUAGUGGUUAAUGUUCGUGAAGAAAUUGAAGAGUUUUUUCCAAGAAUGUGGAAGAUAAAUCAAGAUAAAAGAAGGCUAAUGAAAAGUAUUAAAGAUCAGAAAAUUAAAAUUGAAUGGGGGAAAAAAUUGAACAGAAGAUUGGUCAGAUAGAAGCACUUGAAUAUUUUUUUAAGGCUAUUUUGAAUUGUUUGAAUUGGGGAAGAAUACACGAAGUAUGAAAAAUGAAAAACUCAAUGAAGAAUGAAGAGAAGUAGAAAGCAAGAGUGAAGUAGAAUUAAAAGAAUCUGGAAGAAUGAAUGGGUCCUAGGUUAAGUAAAUGUAUGGUUUAUGUUCCAGUGUCUGUAUGAUCAAGUUGUAGAUGAAUUUGCAUGAUUACUUAGUUAAUAGAGAAUUGGUGAUCUGGUUCAAGUAGGGAAUUAUUGAGGACAGUUAGCAGUAUUAACAGUGGGUUAUUAUUGAGCUGAAAUUUUUUCUGGAGGGUGUUGUCUAACCAUUUGUUUUUCAGGAGCAAUCAAUAUAAAUAAUUACGGUACUUUAAAUGUUAGGUGUUAGGCAUCUACAUGACCAGUGCCAUUUGUAAUACUGUCUUCUUUGUUAGGAGUCUCGCUCUCAGUCAAAAUCUCCAACGGGAACUCCUGCUCGUGUAAAAUCGGAGAGCAGGUCAGGAUCUCGUAGUCCAUCAAGGGUUUCCAAACACUCUGAAUCCCAUUCUCGAUCAAGAUCAAAAUCCAGGUCGAGGUCAAGGAGACAUUCUCAUAGACGUUACACUCGAUCCAGAUCCCACUCUCACUCUCAUAGGAGACGAUCUCGAAGUAGAUCAUAUACACCAGAAUACCGGCGGCGAAGGAGCCGAAGCCAUUCUCCAA
RNAcentral lists this long non-coding RNA (1424 nucleotides) under Homo sapiens (human). RNAcentral describes it as "HSALNT0119852". Lineage: Eukaryota; Metazoa; Chordata; Mammalia; Primates; Hominidae. The record is from RNAcentral.